Molecule: ribosomal RNA, 465 nt
Filed under: uncultured marine eukaryote
Lineage: Eukaryota
Description: bacterial SSU rRNA
Rfam family: Eukaryotic small subunit ribosomal RNA
Source: RNAcentral
AAAAAAUUAGAGUGUUUAAGGCAGGCUUAUGCCGUGAAUAAAUUAGCAUGGAAUAAUAAGAUAGGACUUCGGCACCGCUGAUUAGCUACCGCUGGGAUAGAUUGCGCGGACGUUCUCACGAACUGAAGUGUGGUCUGCUCGGAGGAGUUAUGGCUUGUCGGUCUCUAUUUUGUUGGUUUUUAGAGCUGAAGUAAUGAUUGAUAGGGAUAGUUGGGGGUGCUGGUAUUGCCGGGCCAGAGGUGAAAUUCUUGGAUUCUGGCAAGACCAACUUAUGCGAAAGCAUUCACCAAGGAUGUCUUCUUUAAUCAAGAACGAAAGUUGAGGGAUCGAAGACGAUCAGAUACCGUCGUAGUCUCAACCAUAAACUAUGCCAACUAGGGAUUGGGCGUCGUUGUAUAGGACUCGCUCAGCACCUUAUUUGAGAAAUCAGAAGUUAUUGGGUUCCGGGGGGAGUAUGAUCGCAAG